AGCGCUUGUCUUGACAUAUGCUGUUUUCUAGUGUCGUUGCUUCCUUUAUUCCCCGCGGAUUGUACUUUUGCUAAGAGUAAUUUUUUAUGUGAUUAGUUCAAAAUGUAGCUUUGCUCUUGAUCUGAAGCUUGUUCACUAACUCACUAUAGAAUCCUGCAUAAGCUGAGAGAAGAAAGUUAAAAGGACAUAAAAAAGCUAGUCAAAUGGGAAUUUUAUGGCUUUGCCCUAAACAUCCCUUCUGAAACCGGUAUGGAACUAAGUGUAGUAUGGCUUUGAUUUAUCUCAACUGUGGAAAAGAGUGGUUAGUUGGUCAGUCUAACAAAUAGCUUAUUCAGAAGAUCUGUGCUUUCUCUGUUGAGAUUCCACUCCACUGACUAUGCAGUCUGGCUCUAUAAUAAUGAAGUUCUGCUCUAUGCCUUAAGCUUGAAACUCUGCAUCUGGGAUAUCUUUCCAAGCCUGUGAUUCUGCAAGCAUAGAGACUUUGUGCACGUUGCCCUGAUAUCUUAACAAUUAUACUUUGUUUCAAACUUUUCAGCUAGGCGCAGUGAAUGGACCUCAUCACUUACCAACCUUGUCUGGAGCAGUUAAGGGGUUAGUAAUAUAUAACACCCUUUUGAUAUGGGGUUAGGUGUUUCUCCUCUAAUGAUGUAAUAACUUUGCUGAAGUCAUAUGUUUUCGGGUUUUUGCAGUUUUCCGUUGACUCAACUUGUCCCAGCAAGGAAGCCUGAUCCAGACAACAAAGAUGCUGGUGAUGACAACGAUGAUGCAACUAGUGAGGACGAUGAUGAUGAUGUACCUAGCGAAGGGGAUGGUUCUGGAGAUGACAAUGACGACCAAGAAGACGGCUCGAGCGAUGAUGGCGGGGGGAAGGAUGAACUGAAGGUCAAUGGCGAAGGUGGAAGUGAUGAAGAAGAAGAGGAUGAUGACGAGGAUGAUGAUGAUGAAGAUGAUGAGGACGAGGACGAUGAUGACGAGGAUGAUGACGAUGAGGAGGAUGUGGACGAAGAUGAUGACGAGGACGACAUCCCUCAGCCACCAACCAAGAAGAGGAAAUGAAGAGAAUGGAUGAGGAAGACUUAGCAGACUUCUGCCAUUGUUGUUCUAUUAAUUUGUAACAUGAAAUGGAUAUUAUUAAGGUUAUGUGUCUAGAACUAUAACAGCGAGUGAGUUCCAAGUAUCAGUGUUGUCCUAAUGUUUAAGCUACUGUGGAUUUGAUGUAGUUAUCAAUCUUUGCUCAUGUGAUUGGUGGUUGUGUCGGGUGAAAAAAAAGCUGUAGUUGGUGGUGAAGUAGUCAUGGUUUUGCAAGUGUGCUGUGGACUGAAUGAUUUGAAAUAAGGGAGGCAGUUGACUUGACAGAAACAAAGGUCAAAUCCUUAAUCCAAUGGGAUUAUCC
Molecule: long non-coding RNA, 1393 nt
Filed under: Linum usitatissimum (flax)
Lineage: Eukaryota; Viridiplantae; Streptophyta; Magnoliopsida; Malpighiales; Linaceae
Description: long non-coding RNA (LUSI_LNC003661)
Source: RNAcentral